CGAGACGCGACGGCCAUACUUCCAUGACGGCCAUGGGAUGUUUCGGCCAUACCGUCACAUCGUCCAUGGGACAUAUCGGCCACACUUUGUGAGACGUAUCGUCCACACUUUAAAAAAAAAAUUUUAUUGAGGUUAUAGCAUAAAAUAUAAUAAUAAAAUAAGUAUUUAUUCAUAAUAAUAACAUUAAUAUGAUUUUGUAGUAUUUUUUUCUGUACAAGAGAUCUUAUUUAUUCUUGUAAGAGUUAUCUUUGCUUGAUCAUCAUCACUCGUGUUUACAACUUGUUGGGGCCAUAUUAUUUUAGAGUCAUUCCAUUUGCUGAACAUCUUUCCAAGACGGAGACUACUGUAGAAUUUUCCAAUAACAUAACAAAUUACCCGUAAUAUCUGACAGGAAUGUGCACCCUAAUAACAUGAUAAAAGAUGGCCAGUUUCAUUUUUAUCAUACUGAAUGUUCUUUUUGCUUAAGUUUGUUCAUUGUGUUGAAUACUAUUUGUUGACAAUUUAAAUGUUCCCAUUUUUGUGCAUUUGUUGAUGGAGAAUUGUAUUAUGGACAAUCAUACCAAUAUACUCUAGUAUAAGAAACAAAAAGAUAAUAUUUUUGUUUAA
Molecule: long non-coding RNA, 606 nt
Organism: Mytilus californianus (California mussel)
Lineage: Eukaryota; Metazoa; Mollusca; Bivalvia; Mytilida; Mytilidae
Exons: 2
Source: RefSeq, a predicted model, not a curated record